GCCUAGCCCGACCAGCCCAGCCCCGCCUCUUCUCCGGCAGGAUCGCGGCCGAGCAGUCUGCCCAGAGACUUAGCGACAGACAGACGCUGGGACCCACGACGACAGAAGGCGCCGAUGGCCGCGCCUGCUGAGCCCUGCGCGGGGCAGGGGGUCUGGAACCAGACAGAGCCUGAACCUGCCGCCACCAGCCUGCUGAGCCUGUGCUUCCUGAGAACAGCAGGGGUCUGGGUACCCCCCAUGUACCUCUGGGUCCUUGGUCCCAUCUACCUCCUCUUCAUCCACCACCAUGGCCGGGGCUACCUCCGGAUGUUCCCCACUCUUCAAAGCCAAGAUGGUAGCUGCCAUCCCUGGGAGCCUGGAACCAGGCAAUGGUGGGGGGAGGCAGGGGACAGGCUGGAACCUGGUGAAGUCUUAAAGUAGACUCCUCCUAUCGGGGUGUAGAAGGGAAUCUGUUAAUCAAACAGAGCAAUAUUAGAAAGGCUACAGAGGUCAAUUCAGUGGAACACGGUUCUCCCAAACAGAUUUUGUAAUUCCGAAAAUCCACGCAUGCGCAAACAUACGCAUACACUCCCAUGUUCCUGGACAGUUUAUAGCUACCAUAACCUGGCAUUUUCCAAAACAUACCAUGUAGACUCUUGGAUACACAAGGUAAUUUUAGGGCCACAUUAGGAUGAACCUUUUAAAAAGUUAUGCAUUUAUUUUUAUGUUCCCCCACUGGCUGUAUUAUAGGACAAUUUUUAUAUGUGAUAUGUAUUUACCUUAGUGUGUUAAAUAAACACUGGCAUUCCAAGUGUGAGCCUUUCUGCUCAUCCA
Molecule: long non-coding RNA, 813 nt
Organism: Homo sapiens (human)
Lineage: Eukaryota; Metazoa; Chordata; Mammalia; Primates; Hominidae
Gene: ABCC6P1
Product: ATP binding cassette subfamily C member 6 pseudogene 1
Source: Ensembl